AGUUGGGGUUUUCCUCUAAGGAAUCCGACGGGAUAACGAGUUUCGUGGUAGGCGAUUACUAUGCGGCCUAUGGUAAUUUGUGAUGGACUAAUUGGAGCACCCCUGUAGGGUUUAAUUUUUUGGAAAGCCGUGCCUGCGGUUAUGUGGCAAAUUUGGAUAUUUUGUUAACAUCCGGUUCUAGACAACUUAAAGUAAUUCAAAUAAAACUUGCCAGCUGAGUGUGUAACCGUGACUGUUUCCUUCAGAGCUCCUUCUUUGAUCGAGAACACGGUAGGGUUAUGAAUGACGUAAGUAGAUGCUCAUGAUCACUUAGUGAUCAUUCUAGUCUUCGACCGUCUUACGUAGACCACCACAUGCUAUUCUGUUCUUCUUAAGUUAGCCACCAUAUAUGC
This 392-nucleotide long non-coding RNA is filed under the name Hordeum vulgare. Its description in RNAcentral is "long non-coding RNA (HVUL_LNC001523)". The record is from RNAcentral. Lineage: Eukaryota; Viridiplantae; Streptophyta; Magnoliopsida; Poales; Poaceae.